This is a non-coding RNA of Microcebus murinus (gray mouse lemur), 1093 nucleotides long. The record is from RefSeq and is a predicted model, not a curated record. NCBI's taxonomy places the organism in Eukaryota, Metazoa, Chordata, Mammalia, Primates, Cheirogaleidae.
AAAAGAAGGAGGAGGAGGAGGAAUGGAAUAGAAUAGAGGAUCCAGAGAAAAAGACCACAUAGGUAUGGCAAAUUGAUUUCUGAGACACGUGUAACAGGAAUUCAAUAGAAUAAGGACUGUCUUUUUAGCAUUGACUGUUGGAACAACUGGUUGUCCACAGUCCCACCACAAAGCAAAAGAAAAAAUUCUCAACCUGAACCUCCACACCUUGCACAAAAAUGAACUCACGUUGAUUAUACGUCUAUAUGCAAAACAUAAAAGAAUAAACCUCUUAGAAGGACAUAUAGGGAGAAAUCCUCAAGGCUGGGGAUUAAGCAAAGAAUUCCUAACAUGACAACAAAAGCAAGAUUCCAACAGAAAAUUGAUAAAUUAGACAUCAUUAAAACUAAAACUUUUGGAGUGGUGCUGGGAGUCUCCCGGAUGCGGAGCGGUUACUCGCAGCGGGCGGCGCAGUCCGUGGCUGCACAGCGCACAGCGGGCGUUAGCGGCAGCAACCCGGGAGGCAGCCCGGCCGUCACAGCCCCUGAGCCGGUGCGGCCGCCCUUGCUCCCUGUGCUCUUCCUCCCUUCGCUCGCACGGUGGCUGAUCAGCUGACUGAAGAACAGAUUGCUGAAUUCAAGGAAGCUUUCUCCCUAUUGGACAAAGAUGGUGACGGCACCAUCACAACAAAGGAACUUGGAACUGUCAUGAGGUCACUGGGUCAGAACCCAACAGAAGCCCAAUUGCAGGAUCUGAUCAACGAAGUGGAUGCUGAUGGUAACGGCACCAUUGACUUCCCAGAAUUUUUUACUAUGAUGGCUAGAAAAAUGAAAGAUACAGAUAGCGAAGAAGAAAUCCGUGAGUCUUUGACAAGGACGGCAACGGUUGCAUCAGCGCAGCAGAACUACAUCACAUCAUGACAAACUUAGGAGAAAAACUAACAGAUGAAGAAGUAGAUGAAAUGAUCAGAGAAGCAGAUAUUGAUGGAGACGGACAAGUCAACUAUGAAGGAUUCGUACAGAUGAUGACUGCAAAAUGAAGACCUACUUUCAACUCCUUUCCCCCCCCUCUAGAAGAAUCAAAUUGAAUCUUUUACUUACCUCUUGCAAAAAAA